Molecule: small RNA, 121 nt
Filed under: Kosakonia cowanii
Lineage: Bacteria; Pseudomonadati; Pseudomonadota; Gammaproteobacteria; Enterobacterales; Enterobacteriaceae
Description: Histidine operon leader
Rfam family: Histidine operon leader
About the family: At least 6 amino acid operons are known to be regulated by attenuation. In each a leader sequence of 150-200 bp is found upstream of the first gene in the operon.
Source: RNAcentral
CAUCAUCACCAUCACCCUGACUAGUCUUUCAGGCGAUGUGUGCUGGAAGAGAGUCAGAUCUUCCAGUGGUGCAUGAACGCAAAGAGAGCCCCCUUAAUAUCGAGUUCCGGGGGCUUUUUUU